GGAGGCAGAGAACCGCGGGCCCGGGGGCCACCCGUCACUUUCAAGUCGCCCCGCCAGAAGCCCAGGGCGAGGAAAAGGAGAGAGACAAAAGAGCGCUGCGGGGGGAGUCCCCACACCCCCCGCGGCCCCGCACACGGCCCGGCUCUUACUCGUAGUGGCGGAAGAUCUCGUUGGUGACUUUACAGUAGAAAACUUCCUCGUCGGGCCGCAGGUCCGCGGGCGGCUUCUGUCUCACAAACGGCUUUCGGUGUAGCAGCGGCAUCUCCCGUCCGCCCGCGGGCUCGCCUGGACCCUCGGCCGCCCGCGCCGGCCCCGCUUCCCUAUCAAAAUUGGAGGGAAAGGAAAGCCGGUAAGGUGGGGAGCCCUCGGCGGCAGCGUGGGCCGGUCCGCGCGCUGGGAGAAGCUCGGCUGCCUUUUGUGUGACUGACGCGCCGCGGCCGCUACCGGAGCCGAGUUCGUUCCUGCCGCUGCCCGGGUGUCGAGCGAGCGGAGCCGCCGCCGCCCCUGCCCCCCGAGCGCGCCCUACCUCCUCUCGUCCUGCCGCCGCCUCACAAUGGGGCAGGACGCCCCGCCGCGGGGGGCAGUGCGGGAGCGGCGGCGGCCCCCUCCCCCAGCGCCGGCUCCUCGCCCGCCGCCGCCGCCAGGCUCACAACGUGCUCGGCGCGCAGCUGGCCGGCCGGCCAGCCCAACGCCGCCAGAGCGCUCGCCGCGGGCGGACCCCGGAGCUGCUCCGCUUUGUUCCCGGCUCGCCUCCACUUCCCCGCCGGCGCCGGCCGGCUCCCGAGCGACCCUCACCUGCGAUCACGCCGACUGCCACUUGUCCACCUUCUCCACUACAAAGGCAACGAGGGGAGACCCCGUCCUCCCAGGGGACCGCCUCUCUCCGGCCCCGCCGCGCCCCUGGCUGCCGCUUCUCCCGCUGCCACUGCCCGACUCCGCGCGGGGAAUUGCGUCCCACCGCCACUUCCCCGCCUCUCGGAGCUCCUGGGAAGUUUCUGAUCUACUUUCGGCUCUGAAGGAGGAAGAGCUGUUGGGAGGAGCUUUUCACUCCUCGCUUCUACCUUUUUAUUGGCUACUCGAUGACUUUUACAGCCUGUCACUGAUACAGGAAGAGACAGCGGAGAGCCUGGGAGAACUACAUUAUUAAUUAAUGGAGCAACCCCUCGUGAAGAUUCAGAAGCAUCCUCCAUGUUUGAGAUUAUCAGCCAAAAGAUCUAGGGAAAGCGCUGGGGGUUCAUAAACACAUGGCUAACAAAGUAAAGCCUUCAAGUCUGGCACAGACUCUUGACUACACGAUGGGAAAAGGGAUUCCAAUUACGAUUUAACUUGUAUUUUAAAGAUGAGAAAAGAAAUGAAUAAGAAAAUUUGUUGCUAUUUUUCUUCUUCCAAAUUAGAAUCUAUAUCUCUAAAAAUACUUUGCAUGUUUAGUAAACAUCCAUCUUGAACAGAAGAUACCUUGACAUCAGUUCUAUUUAAUACUUAUGGCAAUUAAGAGAUUUAGAAAGCAGAGGAAAAGACCAAAAAAAAAGUAUGUGUUACAAAGUGUCAUCAUGCUUGUAGGACCCCAGCAUUCUUGAAACUAACGCACCUUUAAAAAGUAAUAUUUACACUGCUGUAAAUAUUUGCAAAGUAUCAAUGUUUAAUUCACUUAGAAUUUUAAGGAUUAUGGAUUUACUAGCGAAAAUUCCCCUAAAGCAACUUUCCCAUAUCAGUAACUUUUAUUUAGGGAAACAAGUUUAAUGUACAUAAUACAUGUGACCUUGGAAUUCAAUAGAAUUUUCGAAACUAGAAGUAACUCAGAACGUUCACUAGAUGUGUUUUAAAGUCUUUUUUGAUACUGUCCUUAACAUUUGCUUAUUUGCAAAUUAAUAUGUAAGAAUGAGUCUAAAAGUAAGUUUUAGGAAUGGUUAUUCGACAAAGAUGUUAUUCCUAUUACCAAUACUGCGAAAUGAUAAUUACAGAAACAAUGUGGGAUCCGUUUUAUAACUUCAAAUUUAAGUUCCUUUGUACUUUGGAGCAGAAAAUGUAAGAAAUCGAAAUCAAGAGUUAGUAUUUUUUAUCUUUCAGGCUGGCUUUAACUGUUCAUACACCUAGCAAAAUAAACAUUUGUGAAAGGC
Molecule: long non-coding RNA, 2117 nt
Filed under: Homo sapiens (human)
Lineage: Eukaryota; Metazoa; Chordata; Mammalia; Primates; Hominidae
Description: BAZ1A antisense RNA 1
Source: RNAcentral